CAAAAUGAAGUUCGGUUCAGCGAUGUCAAAUUUGAGAUGAGUUUGUUUUGAUUUUGUUUGGCAAAUUUGAGAUCACUGAACCGAACUUCAUUUUGAUUGGCGACUUUGCCGAAAUAAAAAAGUGACAUUUCUGGACUUAGCGCGUAUUGAAAGUAGGUGUUUUGCAUUAUUUAUGGCGCGCCGUGUUGAUUAACAUCGGAGAGGAACCAGAAGGAACCAGCAGAAGGAAUUUCCACGAAUAAACGUCCCGCUGGAACCAUCUCCCUUUCAAGCACUGCAUUCCCUCGGAGUGGCCGCUGGUGAAAGUUGGACGGGCUUGCAAACAUGACUACCUUGGUGCGGAGGAUCCGGUAGGACGGUGUCGUUUGAACGACUGCCGGAAGCGAUUGAAAGUGACUGUUUAAGGCACCGCUGACUUUCGGACCACGUCGUUGGUCAACUUAACGACCUUGGUGGGGAGUACCCGGCAAGACGGUGGUGUUUGAACGACCGACGGACUAGGUGGCGGUGAAGACGGAGUGGAAAUAGGAACCGGAGGGGUACCGUAACCAGAAGUCGACUUCCAGGCCGCGUGCUUUUGAGGAACAAGUCGUUGGUUCGGCAGAAUGCCGGUAUGUUGAUACGUUGGGACGAGCUAGAGCAGAUGGGUUGUUAUGGACCGUGCUGGUCAAGUGAACCUGCAGGACGGAUAUCAUGACGAUUGGUCCGUUGGUGACAGCACGUGAAGUUUGACGGAGAAGAUGUUUUGGAAGUUUAUGGUGCUGAUGAUGGACAAUCUUUGCUGCGACGAGUUUCUGCCGUUUUUCCGUGGGUGGCAAAAGUGCACUCCUGAGCAGCUGCUCGAAGCUCCGCUCCGGAAAAGUUGCACCGAAAACAUAGAGAAAACCUCAGGCAGACAGUUAUCAAGACGUUGAGCGAUCCUUGGUCCGCCUAAAGCAGGAAAACAACACCGCGGGAGGCUAUCCGGGUGGGGUGAAGACGAAGGGGGAACAGAAACCUGCAGGACGUUCAUCGCAUCGCAUUGAAUGGGUGCUUGCAUCACGGGAAGACGACGUUUUUGGACUUUUUUGUUCGGCAGACGCACACGCAGUUUCAGGACAUGGACGAGCGGAACCUGCGGUACACGGACACGCUGUUUACGGAGUAGGAGCGGGGCGUUAGUAUUAAGGCUGUUUAAAGACGCGGCGGAGAGCGGGACGUUGCACGCCGGGCAGGAGGUUCGAGUGCUGGGUGAAAACUACUCGCUCGUGGACGAGGUAGAUUCCAGUCCGCUGUAGGUCGAGCUGUUGUGGAUCUACAAGGCGCAUUACAAGGUCGAGUUGAACCGCGUCCACGCCGGGAAUCGACCUGUGCAUCGUCGAAACCUCGACCAUCACCGAUGUCAACAUGAACGAGGACGUAUUUGUCUUCCGGCCGCCGAACUCCCGAAAAUAAUGAACGGCCUUCGCAAGGUCAACAAAUCAUUACUCUCGCCUCUGAUGGAAGAAUCCGGUGAGCACGUGAUUCUCGGCGCCGGUAAACUCUACUCUACCUGGACUGCGUGAUGCAUGACCUGCGCAAGAUGUACUCCGAGAUCGACAUCAAGUGGCCGAUCCGGUGGUGGCUUUUUGCGAGAGUGUCGUUGAUACGAGUUCGUUCAAGCGUUUCGAGAAAGAACAGGAUUACGAUGAUUGCGGUACCGCUGGAGAAGGGCCUUGAGGACAUUGAGAACGAAUCGGUUUGCAUUGUUUGGAACAAGAACAAGCUAGCCGAGUUCUUCCAGGUCAGCUACGACUGAGAUCUGAUUGCGGCACAAUCUACCUGGGCCUUCGGUCCGGACAACACCAGCCCAAACAAAGUCCUGCUCGGCACCAUCAAAGACUACAUCGUGUAAAGUUUCCAGUGGAGCACGCGCGCCCAUUCUAAACGUCGAGUUCCAAAUCCUGGAUCAAUCCAUCGCCCAGGAACCGUUCCACCACGGAGGUGGCCAAAUCAUCCCAACCUCCCGGCGAGUCGCCUACUGGAACCGUACCACUUCAUCGUGUACACCGUCCUCGUCCGGCGACGUGGCCACGUCACCCAGGACGCACCCGUGCCCGGUUCCCCCUCUACACCAUCAAAGAUUUCAUCCGUUUUGCCGUGGAAGGUUCUACCGCUCGAUCAACCUCUCCCAAAGAAACUUCCUUCGCCUCCUCACGCUCUGGUUCUACUACGGCCAAUACCCGAAGGUCUUUGACGCCAUAGGACAUGCGCAUAAUCGAGACAACCUGCAGCUAAUCGCCCGAACCGACACCCCGCGCGACCUCGUCGGCGAACUCGUCAUUGAUAUCGGCAAGUGUCAUUCGAUAGUCCUCUUCCACCCGUAAUCAAUUCCGUCGUCCAAACAAGAUUCUCGGUUCAAAUGCUGCAAAUGAUAAUGAUGAAAUUAACAAACAGUAGCAGUUAUUACGGCAUCUCUAUCAUGCUAGAGUACGGUUCCCGUUGGUUGGUUCCAGUUUGUUCGCCCAAAACUGCCUGGAGGUGCGCUUCGAGUUUUAUUGGGCAGAUGAGAAGGAGGAGGUGGUGAGGAAGGAUGGGCUGAAACAGACGCUGGAUCCGGAAGUGCAGCAAACGCUGGAGUCGAUAAGAGAGGAUCGAAAAAAAUGCGGGUUCGGCAGCUCUGCUAGUGCUGCCGAACCCGCAAAUUGUAGCAAGCAAUGUAAGUUUGAGGCCUUCAGGAGAUUUGAAGUUGAUUUCUUGUAUCUUUACAGCAAUUGAAUCAUUUCUGAAGAAAACGGAGCACUUUCCAACGCCGUCGAAACUUCCGCCACCAAAACCAAUGCGACUUCUACCGGCAAGGUUACAGCAGCACCAGCCGGAACCUGAUUCGAAGGCCGCAUCUGUUUGGGGUGAAUUUAAAGUGAUGGGAGGUGAUCGGCAGCGAAGGUUAGAGCAAGGUGGGUAGAUUGGCGGCAGCCGCGGCAUGAGGCUUGCGCGAUUCGGGAGGACUGCACGAGUUAGUCAAGUUGAUCCCCGAGGACACUCAGGACGGGUCGUUCUACAGGGCGAGUCUCGCAGUUCACCAAUGCGAGUACGAGCUGGCGCAAACGACGCGUGAUCUGCUCAAUAUGGAACUCACAGCGAUAGCCGGAGGUGCGCGGAUGUACUCGGCCAGCGGCUAAGUGCAGCUCGCGUGCUACGAGAAAGGCCAUCACGCCCAAACUUGUACAAGGCGUGAUAUCUCUGGGCGUCAUUGAACUUCGAGGUCUUCCAAAACCAAAAGUACCCAGUUAACUCAAUCCGAAUUCUGAAACGGAAUCUAAUUAGAAUCGUAUACAAAUUCCGUUUCAAACGCAACAACCGGUUCCGUGUUCGAACCGGUUGUUGCGUUUGAAACGGAAUUUGUAUACGAUUCUAAUUAGAUUCCGUUUCAGAAUUCGGGUUGAUUUGACUGGGUAGCAGGAAGAUCUCCAUAAGAAUCGUGAUUGGAUAGUACGUUACUUUCCAGCUGAUGCGCCGUGAGAGGACCUCGAUUACACUUGCGCUGGCUUCGGAAGAUACCGCCGAUCCACCGAUAUCUAAGCUGUACGAUCCCAAGGUCUGCAAAAGCAUCCUCACCAGCUCGUUGCCGAUUCGGCCAGAAUUAACAGCAUCAUCGAUCGCGAACAGCAAGAACUCAACAAUCAGAUUGUCGUCGACAGAAUGGACUGCCCGGAGAACAUCUUUGUCCAGCAAGCCCUCGAUUAGCUUAAAGACCGUAGGGAGAAGGUGGCGAGCAAGAAGAUUGCGGAACCAUCGUCGGAACCAGCUGCUCCGGUGGUCGAGCAAGCCGAACCGGUCACGGAAUCGCCAGAGCCAACUCCACGAUGGGUUGGACAAAGGUCCGCUCAGGUUUAUCGGGAAAAUUUACCGAAAGGCUGUCCUGCUCGAUGUCGAAGGAUUUGCGAAAGCGGCUAAAAUAUCACAUCUGCACCCAGUUUGACGUGGUCAAGGUUGAGCUUGAACCGGACAAGAUUUCCACGGAGGUUUUGGUGCAGUUUAAGGUCAGUUAAACGAUCGCAGGAAGAAUUGCCAAAAGCGCGCGAGACCAGAGUUACGACUUUUCUGUUGAACCUACCCUGGGAACCACUUUUGGAACGGACUUGUUCGCAUCUUGUAGUACAUCGUCUGGCGCUGGUCGUUCGUGGUCAAAGGUUGCACACUCAUUUGCACUUGAACUUCCGUUCCCCAGAUGCUGUCCACCUCACCCCGUUGGCCUUUCCUCGACACGGCCAGUUCCACAAACGCGUUCGAACCGCUAUCCACGCCGCCGGCUCCCAAGGUGCUAUAUGUAACUGGCUCGAAUAUGUCCACUGCCCCUUCGGAGGAACGCCGUCGUAGAUCCGGCUCGAUCUCGGAUGUCGACGCCGAAGAGGAGCUGCUGGAAAUUGCACGCUCCCCCAAGUUCCGCAACGAUCUGAGUUUUGCCAUUGAGGCGGCGCCUGAGUCAGGACGAUCUUUAUAAGAACCCUGGCGGAGACAAACAAUGUACGCCUUCCCCGCCGUAGAAUGAUCUACUCAUCCUCUUCCGAAGCAACUCCAGCCCAAGCGCAGAGUGGACAAAUCUCGGCGCCGUCAAAGACUUCAUCAUGCAAUGGAUCUAGUGGGACACACGCGAAAAACCACUGUGCGGGAAACACAUCCGAAACGUUAAGUUCCGGAUUCUCGACGCCGUCAUCGCCCAGAAACCGCUCCAUCGCGGAGGUGGUCAAUUCAUCCCAAUCACCCGCCGAAUCGCCUACUCAGCCUUUGUCAUGGCCACACCCCGCCUCAUGGAACCGUACCUCUUCGUCGAAGUGCAAGACGUAUUCGCCCGGCGACGUGCCCCGUCACCCAGGACGCACUCGUCUCCGGUUCCCCCCUCUACACCAUCAAAGCAUUCAUCCCCUCCAGCGAUUCGUUCGAUGUCUUUCACCACUGGCAGAUUGUCCCCGGCGAUCCGCUCGACAAGAGCAUCGUCAUCCGGUCGCUGGCAAGGUCACUCGGUAGUCCUCGUCCACCCGUAGUCGCUGGAACCGUUGCAUUAAAUGCUGAAAAUGAUAAUGAUUAAGAGGCAGUAUUUGUAGAUUCUGCUCGGUUUGUUCUAGAGGUCGUAUCGAGGUGCUCCGAUUUGGAUGAAACUUUCAGGGUUUGUUUGUCUAUACAUGAGAUGAACUCAUGUCAAAUAUGAGCCCUCUACGACAAAGGGAAGUGGGGUAAAACGGGCAUUGAAGUUUGAGGUCCAAAACACAUGAAAAAUCUUAAAAUUGCUCGCAUUUCCGUAAAACUUCAUCAAUUCCAACUCUCUUAGAUGCAUUCGAAAGGUAUUUUGAAGCCCUUCAAAAUGUGCUAUAGACAUCCAGGAUUGGUUUGACUUUUUCUCAUAGCUUUUGCAAAUUACUGUUAAAAAUGGAUUUUUUUAAAACCUUAAUAACUUUUGGCAACAGCCUCCAACACUCAUACUCCCAUAGGUCAUAAGUUAUGGAAUUUCAUGGACUAUAAGCCUACGGUAUUAACUUUUUGGCCAAUCGCAGUUUUUCUCAAAGUUUUACGAUUUUUCUAGAACAAACAUUUUACAACGUUAGUUUUUGCCCUGUAGGCCAAGAAGACGGCACUUUUUGGUCUUAAUUUUGUCAUAUUCGGAAUCCUCGGACAAUUUCACGUAAGUUAGAAGUUUUGGAGUUUUAAUUUUGAUUUAAAAAAUAAUUAAAUAAAACAUUUUUGAAAAAAGAAAUAGAUCUUAUUUACCCUAUGAUCAAAACGUCAAAUGCUGUAUCAAGUAGGCGAAAACUUGUUUUACCCUUAAUCCGACAAAAUGCUAAAUAAUAUUUUAAUUAAUUCUAAAUGGCAUUUUCUCCAAUCAAAUUCAAAAUUCCAACACCUCAAUCUAAUGUAAAAUUUUCUGAGGAUUCCGAAUAUGACAAAAUGGAGACCAAAAAGUGCCGCUAUGGAGGCCUACAGGGCAAAAACUAACGUUGUAAAAUGUUUGUUCUAGAAAAAUCGUAAAACUAUGAAAAAAACUGCGAUUGGCCAAAAAGUUAAUACCGUAGGCUUAUAGUCCAUGAAAUUCCCUAACUUUUGACCUAUGGGAGUAUGGGUGUUGGAGGCUGUUGCCAAAAGUUAUUAAGGUUUCAAAAAAAUCCUUUUUUAACAGUAAUUUGCAAAAGCUAUGAGAAAAAGUCAAACCAAUCCUGGAUGUCUAUAGCACAUUUUGAAGGGCUUCAAAAUACCUUUCGAAUGCAUCUAAGAGAGUUGGAAUUGUUGAAGUUUUACGGAAAUGCGAGCAAUUUUAAGAUUUUUCAUGUGUUUUGGACCUCAAACUUCAAUGCCCGUUUUACCCCACUUCCCUUUGUCGUAGAGGGCUCAUAUUUGGCAUGAGUUCAUCUCAUGUAUAGACAAACAAACCCUGAAAGUUUCAUCCAAAUCGGAGCACCUCGAUACGACCUGUUUCACAUCGGUGAAAAACUCGCU
Molecule: long non-coding RNA, 6447 nt
Organism: Culex pipiens pallens (northern house mosquito)
Lineage: Eukaryota; Metazoa; Arthropoda; Insecta; Diptera; Culicidae
Exons: 4
Source: RefSeq, a predicted model, not a curated record